Molecule: long non-coding RNA, 315 nt
Filed under: Mustela putorius furo (domestic ferret)
Lineage: Eukaryota; Metazoa; Chordata; Mammalia; Carnivora; Mustelidae
Description: lncRNA (ENSMPUG00000030397.1)
Source: RNAcentral
AAUUUUUUUUCUUUCUGACUGCUUCACUCUUGUUUGCAGCUCCCGUGGCUGGAUAAAGCCAGGGCAAUUCUUUGGAUGUCAAUCAUUUUGAAAGGCGACUUUCUUGCAUGACUUGGUUGGUGAUUAUGCUUCUCAAAAGAAAACACCUACUACUGUUUGUUGAAGACUCUUACUGGCUUAGCCCUGGGUAAGGUGAUCUCUAGCAUUCAAAAGACAUUCUUGUAGACCACAUAUUAUGAGCCAGGCGUCAGUCCGAGUGCUUGACAUAUGUGCAUCAAUUUAGUCACCACAAGUACUGAGAAGCCUUGUUAUUGC